This 734-nucleotide ribosomal RNA is filed under the name uncultured Ascomycota. Its description in RNAcentral is "SSU rRNA". It matches the Rfam family "Eukaryotic small subunit ribosomal RNA", at positions 402 to 1142 of the family's 1831-position model. Lineage: Eukaryota; Fungi; Ascomycota. The record is from RNAcentral.
AACGGCUACUACAUCCAAGGAAGGCAGCAGGCGCGCAAAUUACCCAAUCCCGAUUCGGGGAGGUAGUGACAAUAAAUACUGAUACAGGGCUCUUUUGGGUCUUGUAAUUGGAAUGAGUACAAUUUAAAUCCCUUAACGAGGAACAAUUGGAGGGCAAGUCUGGUGCCAGCAGCCGCGGUAAUUCCAGCUCCAAUAGCGUAUAUUAAAGUUGUUGUGGUUAAAAAGCUCGUAGUUGAACCUUGGGCCUGGCUGGCCGGUCCGCCUCACCGCGUGUACUGGUCCGGCCGGGUCUUUCCCUCUGUGGAACCCCAUGCCCUUCACUGGGUGUGGCGGGGAAACAGGACUUUUACUUUGAAAAAAUUAGAGUGCUCCAGGCAGGCCUAUGCUCGAAUACAUUAGCAUGGAAUAAUGAAAUAGGACGUGCGGUUCUAUUUUGUUGGUUUCUAGGACCGCCGUAAUGAUUAAUAGGGACAGUCGGGGGCAUCAGUAUUCAAUUGUCAGAGGUGAAAUUCUUGGAUUUAUUGAAGACUAACUACUGCGAAAGCAUUUGCCAAGGAUGUUUUCAUUAAUCAGGAACGAAAGUUAGGGGAUCGAAGACGAUCAGAUACCGUCGUAGUCUUAACCAUAAACUAUGCCGACUAGGGAUCGGACGAUGUUAUUUUUUGACUCGUUCGGCACCUUACGAGAAAUCAAAGUGCUUGGGCUCCAGGGGGAGUAUGGUCGCAAGGCUGAAA